AGAGCGAACGCUGGCGGCAUGCUUAACACAUGCAAGUCGCACGGUCAGCAAUGGCAGUGGCGGACGGGUGAGUAACGCGUAGGAAUUUAUCUAGUGGUGGGGGACAACCGUGGGAAACUACGGCUAAUACCGCAUGAAGCCUGAGGGCCAAAGGUCGCAAGACCGCCAUCUGAGGAGCCUGCGUCUGAUUAGCUAGUUGGUGGGGUAAAGCCUACCAAGGCUGCGAUCAGUAGCUGGUCUGAGAGGAUGAUCAGCCACAUUGGGACUGAGACACGGCCCAAACUCCUACGGGAGGCAGCAGUGGGGAAUAUUGGACAAUGGGCGCAAGCCUGAUCCAGCAAUGCCGCGUGUGUGAAGAAGGUCUUCGGAUUGUAAAGCACUUUUGGCAGGGACGAUGAUGACGGUACCUGCAGAAUAAGCCCGGCUAACUUCGUGCCAGCAGCCGC
RNAcentral lists this ribosomal RNA (446 nucleotides) under uncultured bacterium. RNAcentral describes it as "SSU rRNA". It matches the Rfam family "Bacterial small subunit ribosomal RNA", at positions 26 to 518 of the family's 1533-position model. The record is from RNAcentral.